This 378-nucleotide unclassified non-coding RNA is filed under the name uncultured Chlamydiales bacterium. Its description in RNAcentral is "contains 16S-23S intergenic spacer region". Lineage: Bacteria; Pseudomonadati; Chlamydiota; Chlamydiia; Chlamydiales. The record is from RNAcentral.
UCCUGGUUAACCCAGGCAGUCUCACUAGAGUUCCCACCAUUACGUGUUGGCAACUAGUGACAAGGGUUGCGCUCGUUGCGGGACUUAACCCAACACCUCACGGCACGAGCUGACGACAGCCAUGCAGCACCUGUGCAGAAGCCCUUUCGGGCUACGCCAUCUCUGGCGUAUUCCUCUGCAUGUCAAGCCUGGGUAAGGUUCUUCGCGUUGCAUCGAAUUAAACCACAUGCUCCACUGCUUGUGCGGGUCCCCGUCAAUUCUUUUGAGUUUCACCCUUGCGAGCGUACUCCCCAGGCGGUAUACUUAUCGCGUUAGCUACGGCACAGCUGGGGUUGAGUCCAGCUACACCUAGUAUACAUCGUUUACGGCAAGGACUAC